Molecule: long non-coding RNA, 5268 nt
Filed under: Sus scrofa (pig)
Lineage: Eukaryota; Metazoa; Chordata; Mammalia; Artiodactyla; Suidae
Description: lncRNA (ENSSSCG00015019747.1)
Source: RNAcentral
GGCUAGGGGUCAAAUCUGAGCUGCAGCUGCCAGCCUGCACCACAGUCACAGUCACAGCCACAGCCACAGCCACAACAACACAGGAUCAGAGUGAAGUCUGUGACCUACAGCACAGCUAAUGUCAAUGCAGGAUCCUUAACCCACUGAGCUAGGCCAGGGAUUGAGCCCGAAACCUCACAGAUACUAGUCGGGUUCAUUACUGCUGAGCCACAUUGGGAACUAAAUAGAGAAGUAUUUCAUAAAUAGUACUGCAAACACACUGCUACCUCCAGCUAAUGGUUUGUGUACUCUUAAACUUAGACUGAAGACAGUAAGGGAAAGAAAUAUUUUCAAUGAGGGGUUGGAGGUGGAGUGGGGGGGUAUGUAAGUAUAGAGAGAAAUUAACAACUUAAAAUUUUAGAGCCGUGUAUACAUUGGGGUUGUCCAAUAUAUCUCCUGUGUCCAGUGUAUCAUACUCUGCACUGUGAUUAAGAAUUCAGGCAAAUCCUCAAAAUUGUGGCAUUGACCUCAUGUGGUUUAUGUCUUGAGAGUCAAGGCUAAGAUAUUGAAGGCACCAUAUUUCUAAAUAAUAAUAAUAAUAAUUAUAACAAUUAGUUCAGUGUAUAAGGCUGGGAUAAGAGCAAUCAUUUCUCAUAAUUGUAAAUAAGGUAAAUUCACACACUGAACAAGUACUCAAGAAGAGAACUCUUUUUUAUCAGUUACCUGCUCUUUAUAGACAGCUUGGUUAUUGUGUGCCUAUUUCUUCUCCUCCAGCUCCCCGCCUUCCCCCGCUGCUACCCACUAUGACAGUUACUUUAGAAAUAAGUGACUUGGUUCCUGGAUGGAUUUCCAGCCCUUCUGCAUGACACAGGUUCCAAAUGUCAAAUUGCAACUAUGGAGAAGCCUGUGAACUAUGAUAAUGGAUAAACUCGUGUGUGUUAACAGUCCUGUUUGGUGCUAGAGCAGGGUUGCCAAGACAUAGUCUGAAUGAGUUGGGGGUUUCUGAGAUCUUGUAAAAUGAGGCCAAUUUGAAAUGUUGGCACUGAAUGCUGAGCUUUUUAUAAUAGCCCACGUUGUCCCAUUUUCUUCUAGAGUUGAAUAGGAACAAAAUACCUGGCUUCAUGCAGUGGUUCUCUGAUGACAAAUGAACUAAUUAGAGGUGGUGUUUCUUAGUUCAUCCCAAAGAUCUUAGCCUAGCCGUGGAAGAUGUGGGAAAUGCAGGCUCUGAUAGCUUUAGUUUUAGAAAAGACAACUUUUAACAUCUGAAACUGUCUCCCCUAGCUCUCUACUAUCUGAUCCCCUCUAGUAUUUUCUUUGUAUAGAUGGGUCCAGGUAGGCUAAGGGUAACUGUACUAUUUAAUACAUUAACUCAAUGACAGAGCAAAUCUAUUAAACAGAUUACCUUUCACCUUUGGUGUGUAAAGAAGUCUUCGUAUGCCAAGGUCAUGAGGCCUCUUAGCAAAGUUCCUGUGAGAGAAAUUAACAUUUUUAUCACAUAAUCUAAUCUAUCAAGUGGAGUAGAUUCCAAGGUAAGUCCAUCUAGUACUGCUUUUUUUUUUUUUUCCUUUAAAAAAGGCCAGCAGUGAAAGAAGUCAUUGAAUUAAAAGUGCUAUAUGAAAAAUAAAAGGGGAGAGAAUACAGAUAAGGAAGGUUUACAUCUUCAUGCUCUUGUAGGAUAUGGCAGUAUUUGUAGGUGGCAGAUUGUAGAGAGAAGGCCAUAAAGGCAACUACAGUGACAUUGAGGCAGAGAAAAAGCUUGCUGGAGAUUAUGGGUUCCUGUUACUUAUGAUCAGAUGCCUUUCAGUUACUUUUGAGGUGAAGGAUUUAUACACUGCAGAAAUCCUGAUCACAUUGAUGGGAAUGAUGUGGGACUUCAAAGGAUAGGUUUUGAAGUUGUUGGACAUUUAGUUUCAGAUUUCCAUCUCCAAAACUCAAAUCUGAAUUGCUCAUUGGUUCAGAGAGGAAAAUGCUUAAUUUGAAAUUCUGUCAUAAACUCUGUGAGAGCAGACAAACUUAGAUGAGCUUAGAAAUAGCUUUGAAUCCCAAAUCUCAAUACCGUUAUACUACUUGAUUAUAGAAGAAAACGGGACCACCUGUCUCUAACAAGGAGAGACGCCUAUUGGAAAUAUCUCAGCAUGUGCGUUCUCAGCCCAUCAUAGAGAACAUGACAUUUAAGCCGUAUGGAUAGUUCUGGUCUCAUGUCAUCUAAACAUCACAUUUUUCAAACUCAGAAAUGCCAGAUCGUGUUAUUUCUGCGGCAAGGCGUUGCUUAGGAUCUGUGACAGAUGAGUUUUCCCUAUCGAUUAUGUGACAAUGCAGUUCAUUUAUAGAGUUCAAGGAAAUGAGAACAGCCUCCAGUUUAACAAGAAGACCCUUAAUUCAAGGGCUGUGUUGUAUUUAAAUGCAGAAAUCAAAAUUCAAGUUGGAGAAAGUGGAAGAGUGAAUUUAACUGUGAACUCGAACUUUUAUAGCUCAGUCAUCCUCCUUGGAGGGCUGCAACUGAUCACUGAAUCUGAUGCCUUCUGAUUAGGUGACUGAUUUGUAAAUAAACCAUGCAAGAAAUCAUAUCUUACAUAGAGAAUUCAUCUUUACAUCAAUGUACACAUUUAAAGUUGCUCCUAAUGUAAAACAUGUAGUGAAUCCAAAAUGUAAAAAACAAAGGGCACCCUAGCGAGUCUAUGUGCAUAUGGGGAGGAGGGGCUGUUAAUAGAGAUACCAACCUGAAAACACUUUGAAAGAACUUUCCAGAUUUAUCUUAAAUUCUGAAAUGAUUUAAUAUGCACAUGUUCUUCCAAUGGUACAGACAGGCAUGCAGAAGUAACUAGACGUCCAACACAUGCCAAGGUCUUGCGGGCCCAGGAUUUCGAACAAAAGAAAACUCGGUAACGUGACUGUAAAUCAAGGGCAUUUGAGACCAUAGACGCGCGCACCACUGCAAGGGUUAAUUGGAGGAGAGGGAAGAGAGAGGCUCCACCUUGCAGUCUGUGUGAACUUCGGCCAGAAAAAGAGCUGGAGCUCCAGCCGCCGCCGGUGGGAGCCCUGCAGUCCGCGGCACGCGGUCCCUUGUUGUGGGGCAGGUGUGGCGCCGGGUAGAGGCGGGGCGCAACCUGGAAACUGCCGCCUGAGCUGUGGCCCGCGCCCUGCCUACCCUUUGGCGCAUCUGUUUCUUUAUUGCCUGAAAGCCAUCCGACGCGUUGAAGGCGCGAUUAUCGACAAUUUGUCAGCCCGAUUUUGUCGCUUGCAAUAACUUUUGGUGAAGUUUCACUCUCAGGCCCUUGAGUUUCGGGAUGAGGAAAUGUGGUAUGAGAGCAUUGUCCUGUGUUUGGCUUCUCAUUUCCACAGGACCCAGGCAGGCAGAAGAAGGGAAAAGAAAGUUAAUCCGACUGCAGUCACUCUGGCACACAAGCCAUGGGGAAACGGGAGAGAAACUUGUUCCUUCUCCUACAAAACUCUCCCCUUCCCCCUCAAGCCCCUCCCCCCACCAGGUCCUUUUUAAUAGAUCAGUCCCUCAUCUCCCCCCCCCUCCACACACGUAUUCUUGGGCCCACAAUUCUCUUGAGCAACCUAGGACUGAGUUUUUGUGUUUUGUUUGUUUUGCUUGCUUUUUCCUUUGUGUUUGUGGAUGUGGAUUGUUUUUCAGGGACCAGGGGCCAGGACCGCAGCUCUAAACCUGAACCGUUCACCUUCAUGAUCCCUUUCUUCCCCUCUUCUUGAUUGGUGGCUGUCGUGGCCAAGACCAUGCCCUUUCCUGAGCAUGGAGCAGUGGGGCAGCUGCUCUGAAGCAGCUGCUGUGCCUUACCCCUCUUUUCUCAAUCAUUAAAAUUCAAUUUCAAAAUUUCUGUCUUUAACAAUUUCCUAAGGAGACUAUGAAGAAUGCCAAAAGAGUGGGCCUUUUUUCAAGUGGUCAUGUUUCAGCAAAAGGCAGGCACAGUCCAAGUUGCCCUAGGUUGUGCCCUUAUAGGAGCAGGGCAGUGGAUGUUGUGUAAAAUGGAGUGCUGUGCCCACCUUGAACGAGAGACGAGCUCUGGCAGGUCAAGAACCUGGGGAGAGCAACUCCAGCUUUUCCAUCCACAUCACCCCUGCAGCUUGAUGGAGCACAGCACCAAGCAGGAAGUUCUCAUUUUUUUUUUUUUUUUAAUGUCCACACCCAUGACAUACAGAAGUUUCUGGCCCAGGGAUUGAAUCUAAGUUUCAGCUAUGACCUAUGUGGCAGCUAUAGCAAUGCCAGAUCCCUUAACCCGCUGCACCAAGCUGGGGAUCAAACCCUCACCUCUGCAGCAACCCAAGCUGCUGCAGUUAGAUUUUUAACCCACUGCACCACAGCUGGAACUCUGGGGAAGUUCUCUUUAAUAGUUCCUCACUUUCUUCCUUGAUCCAAAAAGAAAAAUAUUUGUAUUCGGAAAGUUCUCUUCUGCUAAGAAGUUUCUAUUAACAUCUCUUUCUCCUUUCAGUGAAGUCUGUUUCUGGGUCAAGGGGAGUGUUUUAAGAAACAGAAAAAUAGAGACACACACAUAACUGCAAUAGGUAGCUGAACUUCAUCAGGAGCCUUGAGUAGCCAAGAAAACAUUCUUCUGAUGCAACUUCAGAGUUUCAUCCCCUGCUCCAAAAUUUAUCAUGUAAUUAGUACCCAAAAUGCCUCCUUUAACCAACACCCAUUGCAACCUAUGGAAAAGAUGUAGCAUUUUUUUUUUGAAAUUCUAGAUGGACCUAAGGAUUACCUGACUCCUAUUGCCAUCACCUCUUAAUCACACAAAACUGUUUUCCUAAACACCAACCUUUUUCCCUAUAAAAACCACUGACCCCUCAGUAUACCUAGUACCUUUUUUCCUCCCUUUAAAUUAUUAUUCCUUACUCUUUUCCGUUCUGGGGCCCUGAGCCAGAUUCUCAGAAUUAAUCCUGAGUUCUCCCAAAUGCCAUGACAAGUUAGAAGGGAAAUUGGGGGACUGCACUGAAAAUACAUGGUAUAGAGAGUAAAUGUUACAGCUGUUGACAAGUGGCAGUUUGGGGUAUCAGCAAUGAAUUCCACAUUUUUCUAUAGGCUUCUUUUUACUUCACUUUAGGAUCCACUGAUCCUGAUAGAAACAAGUUAAAACUGCAGUUCCCUUCGUGGCGCAGUGGUUAACGAAUCCGACUAGUAACCAUGAGGUUGUGGGUUUGAUCCCUGGCCUUGCUCAGUGGGUUAAGGAUCCGGCGUUGCUGUGAGCUGUGGUGUAGGCCGGUGGCUGCAGCUCCGAUUAGACCCCUAGCUUGGGAAUCUCCAUAUGCCCCUGGAGCAGCCAUAGAAAAGGC